RNAcentral lists this ribosomal RNA (253 nucleotides) under uncultured bacterium. Its description in RNAcentral is "partial 16S ribosomal RNA". It matches the Rfam family "Bacterial small subunit ribosomal RNA", at positions 524 to 776 of the family's 1533-position model. The record is from RNAcentral.
UACGGAGGGUGCGAGCGUUGUCCGGAAUCACUGGGCGUAAAGGGCGCGUAGGUGGCGCGGGCAGUCAACGGUGAAAGUUCGGGGCUCAACCCUGAAUCGGCCGUCGAUACUCCCGGGCUUGAGCACUGUAGAGGCAGAUGGAAUUCCGGGUGUAGCGGUGGAAUGCGUAGAGAUCCGGAAGAACACCGGUGGCGAAGGCGGUCUGCUGGGCAGUAGCUGGCACUGAGGCGCGACAGCGUGGGGAGCAAACAGG